Molecule: unclassified non-coding RNA, 1609 nt
Filed under: Centruroides sculpturatus (bark scorpion)
Lineage: Eukaryota; Metazoa; Arthropoda; Arachnida; Scorpiones; Buthidae
Description: uncharacterized LOC111616587, transcript variant X1
Source: RNAcentral
UGUUAAGUGUUGGAAACUGCAACAUGCCUUAUUCAUGUGAUAUUUCGGCGUCUCCCGUUAUGGAUCCCGCCACAAUAUUCAAUAAUAUAACAUCUUACAGUUUUCUUCGCUAUCUCCCCACCGAAGAGGCUGCACAGACGUUUUGCCAUCUUGUGGGGCUCAUCCUCAAGGGCUCAUUCGUGCCCCAUCCGGACCUAACCGGUUUCUUUCCGCCAUGUCCUAAGUGCGGAGGCACUAUGCGGAAGGAACCGGCUCCAUCUGACAGGUUCGGAUUCGUCUACCGCUGUGAAAAAGUACAGCAGAAAAAGAAGAUGAGGAGGCGGACUGGCGGCACCGUCUUCAGGGCCAUGUGCACUGGUUCCCUGUCUUGCACCCACAACACCUUUUUCGAAAGGACACAGCUGACAGCCCAAGAGGUGCUGAUGCUUGUCUAUUCGUGGGUCAAGCAGGAGCCGGUCACCGUCGCCGCGGAGGAAUGCGGCGUGGCCCCCAAAACAGCGGUAGAUUGGUACAAUUACUGCCGUGAAGUUGCGGAGGUUUUCGUCUCCCACCAGCAAAACAUCCAGCUCGGGGGUGAAGGCAUGACCGUCGAGAUCGACGAGACCUUCACCCGGAGGCGAAAAUACAACCGCGGCCGCGUAACUAAAGGCACCCAAAUCACCAUCUUCGGUGCCUAUUGUCGGGAAACAAAAGAGGUGAUGUACUGGCAUGUGGACAACAAGAGCCGACGGGUUCUCUGGAGCCACAUGCUCAGAUACAUCGCCCGCGGUUCCAUCAUUGUUUCCGACAGCGCGGCCCAAUAUCGCGGUUGUACGACGAUGGGCUUCUCUGAACAUAAGACCGUUAAUCACAGCCAGCGGGGCCCCGGGAGAUUCGUCGACGCCGAUGAUCCCGAGGCCCACACUCAGAACAUCGAGUGCAGAAAUCGCUGGCUGAAGAAGUCCAUCAAGUCGCUCCGCACGGACAGGAGCCUGCAGAGCUACAACUGUACGUACGUGUACAGGACGCGGGUCCUGUCCCAGUUGCCAACAACAUCGGCAAAAUUCCGGCAGUUCAUCGGGGACAUCGUGGCCGUCUACCCGGGCCCCGGUCGUCAGGGUCUCCAACUCCGGACGAUCGGUGUGCCCGUGGAUCAACAUCUGCCGCCGGACGAGCCCUAUUUCGAUGUUCCCGUGCACGAGGGCGACGAAGAGGAACGGCAGGGGGAUGACGACCGCCCAACAACAUCGGGCGCCAACAUCUUCGUCAUCGACCCCCAGGACCUAGCCGAGGCGGGGACCAGCGGCCUCACCCCGUCCUCACCUACGCAACAUCGGGAAUAGGCUAGGCGUCGCCAGGUAGCGAAAGGAUGUGGCGGGAGACGCAGGAGGAAACGCUGUUGAAGACGAUAGAAAUCUCUCCGUAGUUGGCGCUACGGACAGCGACCGAGAAGUUAUAGAUCUCCGAAGUGACUUGUCCCAUCUGUAUGGACGUUUACAUCGAUCCGGUGUCCACCAGUUGCGGACACGCGUUCUGCAAAUCUUGCAUUGAUAGGAUCGUGGAAACGAGGAAUCGUCGGUGUCCACUUUGUAGAUCUCCGAAAUUCGGCAUUAAACGGCGAGGAGAUAAA